AAAACAUUUUUCUGCUGAGAGCACAUGAGCAGGAAACAUGGAGAAGAAUCUUUUGGCAGCCCCAUUACUAAUCCUCUGGCUUCAUCUUGACUGCGUGAGCAGCAUACUGAACGUGGAACAAAGUCCUCAGUUACUGCGUGUUCAGGAGGGAGACGGCACCAAUUUCACCUGCAGCUUCCCUUCCAGCAAUUUUUAUGCCUUACACUGGUACAGAUGGGAAACUGCAAAAAGCCCCAAGAACUUGUUUGUAAUGAGUUUAAAUGGGGAUGAAAAGAAGAAAGGACGAAUAAAUGUCACCCUUAAUACAAAGGAGGGUUACAGCUAUUUGUACAUCAAAGGAUCCCAGUCUGAAGACUCAGCCACAUACCUCUGUGCCAUUACACAGUGCUAUUCAGACACCUGCAGCCCAUACGCAAACCUGUGGCUGGUGUUGCACUGCUACUCAGUAUUGACAAAGAACCGUGAGUGGGAUGGAAAAGAUAGGAUGGAAAAGACAAAUUCCUUGAAUUACAGUUUUUUUUUCAAGAGGAUUAUGGAAACAGGAAAAUAAGCAUGCUAGUAAUCACAGCUAACUACCACAAAAGCUAAUUAAGUAAACCUAUUUUUUAUGAUAGAUAUCAGAGUGCUAAUGAAGCAUAAUACAUUACCUGGUAACUUGGCUGUUACUAAACAAUACUAAUUCCAACUCCCAACAACACGUUAACUACAUCAUUGACUCAGACCCAUCGUCUGCUCACUUGGCAUGAUUUCGAAAGGACCCAACAGUCACUCAAACCUAUCUAAAACAAUUGGGUAAAUAAAAGUAAUGUUUACCCUCUCAUUAUCCCUAUGUCCUAAAAAUGAGUUCUUCUAUCGUAUUUUUUCCACAAGCACAAAUGGAGCAUGUGGCAUGCCCCCUCCUCACACACCUGGCAUGGAAAUAUGCAUGUUUAAUACCAGAGCAGGUGAUGCUGCCUCCUUUAAUCCAUUGGGGAUUUUGGUUUUGCUUCAGUUCAACUUUCCCCCUACAUGAACAUUUGCAUUUUUAUUUCUUCUCACAUGUGGCUAUUUUCAUUUUUAAAUAUCACUCAUAAUAUCAUAAAGGAGCACUGAUGAAGGACCUUCACUAUUAAUAUGGUCUAUCUCCCAGCCUGUACUGUGAUUGUGAUAUUGGAUGACUAACUGAACUCUAUUAUCAAAGUCUCUUCAUUUGUAAUUUCCAGGUAUAUGAAGAAGG
Molecule: non-coding RNA, 1216 nt
Organism: Saimiri boliviensis boliviensis (Bolivian squirrel monkey)
Lineage: Eukaryota; Metazoa; Chordata; Mammalia; Primates; Cebidae
Source: the annotation of a RefSeq genome assembly